Molecule: transfer RNA, 64 nt
Filed under: Lineus viridis
Lineage: Eukaryota; Metazoa; Nemertea; Pilidiophora; Heteronemertea; Lineidae
Description: tRNA-Asp
Source: RNAcentral
AAAAAAUUAGUUAAUUUAUAAUGAAGGAUUGUCAAUUCUUUGUUGCUUUCAAAAGUAUUUUUUG